AGUGAACGUUGGCGGCGUGGAUUAGGCAUGCAAGUCGAGCGAGUGGAGUUCUUCGGAACAAGGCUAGCGGCGGACGGGUGAGUAACACGUGGGCAACCUGCCUCAUAGAGGGGAAUAGCCUCCUGAAAGGGAGAUUAAUACCGCAUAAGAUUGUAGCUUCGCAUGAAGUAGCAAUUAAAGGAGCAAUCCGCUAUGAGAUGGGCCCGCGGCGCAUUAGCUAGUUGGUGAGGUAACGGCUCACCAAGGCGACGAUGCGUAGCCGACCUGAGAGGGUGAUCGGCCACAUUGGGACUGAGACACGGCCCAGACUCCUACGGGAGGCAGCAGUGGGGAAUAUUGCACAAUGGGGGAAACCCUGGUGCAGCAACGCCGCGUGAGUGAUGACGGCCUUCGGGUUGUAAAGCUCUGUCUUCAGGGACGAUAAUGACGGUACCUGAGGAGGAAGCCACGGCUAACUACGUGCCAGCCGCCGCCGUAA
This 478-nucleotide ribosomal RNA is filed under the name uncultured bacterium. RNAcentral's name for it is "partial 16S ribosomal RNA". It matches the Rfam family "Bacterial small subunit ribosomal RNA", at positions 29 to 523 of the family's 1533-position model. The record is from RNAcentral.